Molecule: transfer RNA, 61 nt
Filed under: Ferosagitta ferox
Lineage: Eukaryota; Metazoa; Chaetognatha; Sagittoidea; Aphragmophora; Sagittidae
Description: tRNA-His
Source: RNAcentral
AUUUUUGUAAGCUAUAUAAGCUAUUGAGUUCAUACCUCAAAAAAGGCCUCGCCCGGAAAUA